UACGAGGGGGGCAAGCGUUGUUCGGAUUUAUUGGGCGUAAAGGGUGCGUAGGCGGUUUGAUAAGUCUGGUGUGAAAUCUAUGGGCUCAACCCAUAGUCUGCACUAGAAACUGCCGUGCUUGAGGACUGGAGAGGAGACUGGAAUUUACGGUGUAGCGGUGAAAUGCGUAGAUAUCGUAAGGAAGACCAGUGGCGAAGGCGGGUCUCUGGACAGUUCCUGACGCUGAGGCACGAAGGCCAGGGGAGCAAACGGG
This 253-nucleotide ribosomal RNA is filed under the name uncultured bacterium. RNAcentral's name for it is "partial 16S ribosomal RNA". It matches the Rfam family "Bacterial small subunit ribosomal RNA", at positions 524 to 776 of the family's 1533-position model. The record is from RNAcentral.